Molecule: ribosomal RNA, 459 nt
Filed under: uncultured bacterium
Lineage: Bacteria
Description: partial 16S ribosomal RNA
Rfam family: Bacterial small subunit ribosomal RNA
Source: RNAcentral
CCUACGGGAGGCAGCAGUGAGGAAUAUUGGUCAAUGGCCGGAAGGCUGAACCAGCCAAGCCGCGUGAGGGAGGAAGGCGCAGAGCGUCGCAGACCUCUUUUGCCGGGGGACAAAAGGCCGGACUCGUCCGGUCCUGCAGGUACCCUGAGAAAAAGCGUCGGCUAACUCCGUGCCAGCAGCCGCGGUAAUACGGAGGAGGCGAGCGUUAUCCGGAUUCAUUGGGUUUAAAGGGUGCGCAGGCGGGCCUUUAAGCCGGCGGUGAAAUCGCGGGGCUCAACCCCGCCGCGCCGUCGGAACUGGGGGCGUUGAGUGCGGAGGAGGCAGGCGGAAUGCGCGGUGUAGCGGUGAAAUGCAUAGAUAUCGCGAAGAACCCCGAUUGCGAAGGCAGCGUGCCGUGGCGCGACUGACGCUGAGGCACGAAAGUGCGGGGAUCGAACAGGAUUAGAUACCCGAGUAGUC